GUUGGCUUAGAAGCAGCUAUUCAUUCAAAGAGUGCGUAAUAGCUCACUAGUCGAGUGACCCUGCGCCGAAAAUGUACCGGGGCUAAAACAAUUUACCGAAGCUGUGGAUACCUUUAUAGGUAUGGUAGGAGAGCGUCCUAUGUGUGAUGAAGGUAUACCGUGAGGAGUGCUGGAACGCAUAGAAGUGAGAAUGCCGGUAUGAGUAGCGAAAGACAGGUGAGAAUCCUGUCCACCGUAAGACUAAGGUUUCCAGGGGAAGGCUCGUCCGCCCUGGGUUAGUCGGGACCUAAGGAGAGACCGAAAGGUGUAUCCGAUGGACAACAGGUUGAUAUUCCUGUACUAGAGUAUGUAGUGAUGGAGGGACGCAGUAGGCUAACUAAAGCAGACGAUUGGAAAGAGUCUGUCUAAGCAANUGAGGUGUGAAUUGAGUCAAAUGCUUAAUUCUAUAACAUUGAGCUGUGAUGGGGAGCGAAGUCUAGUAGCGAAGUUAGUCACGUCACACUGCCAAGAAAAGCUUCUAGCGUUUAAACAUACUCUACCCGUACCGCAAACCGACACAGGUAGUCGAGGCGAGUAGCCUCAGGUGAGCGAGAGAACUCUCGUUAAGGAACUCGGCAAAAUG
Molecule: ribosomal RNA, 622 nt
Filed under: Streptococcus pneumoniae
Lineage: Bacteria; Bacillati; Bacillota; Bacilli; Lactobacillales; Streptococcaceae
Description: bacterial LSU rRNA
Rfam family: Bacterial large subunit ribosomal RNA
Source: RNAcentral